RNAcentral lists this ribosomal RNA (508 nucleotides) under Colletotrichum sp. ATL-4. Its description in RNAcentral is "eukaryotic LSU rRNA". The stretch from base 173 to 326 matches the Rfam family "5.8S ribosomal RNA". Lineage: Eukaryota; Fungi; Ascomycota; Sordariomycetes; Glomerellales; Glomerellaceae. The record is from RNAcentral.
GAAUGGAACUUCGCUCUCACCCUUUGUGAACAUACCUAUAACUGUUGCUUCGGCGGGUAGGGUCUCCGUGACCCUCCCGGCCUCCCGCCCCCGGGCGGGUCGGCGCCCGCCGGAGGAUAACCAAACUCUGAUUUAACGACGUUUCUUCUGAGUGGUACAAGCAAAUAAUCAAAACUUUUAACAACGGAUCUCUUGGUUCUGGCAUCGAUGAAGAACGCAGCGAAAUGCGAUAAGUAAUGUGAAUUGCAGAAUUCAGUGAAUCAUCGAAUCUUUGAACGCACAUUGCGCCCGCCAGCAUUCUGGCGGGCAUGCCUGUUCGAGCGUCAUUUCAACCCUCAAGCUCUGCUUGGUGUUGGGGCCCUACAGCUGAUGUAGGCCCUCAAAGGUAGUGGCGGACCCUCCCGGAGCCUCCUUUGCGUAGUAACUUUACGUCUCGCACUGGGAUCCGGAGGGACUCUUGCCGUAAAACCCCCAAUUUUCCAAAGGUUGACCUCGGAUCAGGAGGAAA